AGUAAGCAAGUCUAUGCAAACCUCUUCCCAAAGUCCAAGGAAACUGAGAGACCAAAGAAAGAGGCUGACAAAUCCAAUUUUUCAGAAAGUAACAUCUAAUGGAAACUUAUGAACAGAAACCAUGUCUGUGUUUCGGGCAGCUGUGAGACAAGAUGAUGGAUCCCAGUGCCAUUAUCCCCCAGACCCAGGUUUUAUAAACCACAGGGAAGGAAUGUGUAGGAUAACCGAAGUUGACACCUGAAGGAAAAGCAAAAAUGGUAUUGCUGUUUUGCAGUGAUCAUAUUCCAGUGCUGAAAAAAGAGGGACCUUGCAUAUUUAUUUAGUUUUAUGUCAAGGGAGAGAAAGAGACACAAGGAGAAAGAGAGAUUAAAAACUGAUACUUCUAUUUCCAGGAUCACUAUAUAACUGUCCAAUCACUCAGACUCUCCAAUCUGAGUGAGUAGGGCCAAGAAAAUGAGGCUCUCUCUCUCUCCUCAUCUCAGUUAAAGGAUAUGUUAUCUCACCAGGAGGG
This is a long non-coding RNA of Pongo pygmaeus (Bornean orangutan), 511 nucleotides long. RefSeq lists it as uncharacterized. The record is from RefSeq and is a predicted model, not a curated record. Lineage: Eukaryota; Metazoa; Chordata; Mammalia; Primates; Hominidae. The transcript is spliced from 3 exons.